RNAcentral lists this ribosomal RNA (485 nucleotides) under uncultured bacterium. RNAcentral describes it as "bacterial SSU rRNA". It matches the Rfam family "Bacterial small subunit ribosomal RNA", at positions 501 to 985 of the family's 1533-position model. The record is from RNAcentral.
CUACGUGCCAGCAGCCGCGGUAAUACGUAGGUGGCAAGCGUUGUCCGGAAUUAUUGGGCGUAAAGCGCGCGCAGGCGGAUUGGUCAGUCUGUCUUAAAAGUUCGGGGCUUAACCCCGUGAUGGGAUGGAAACCGCCAAUCUAGAGUAUCGGAGAGGAAAGUGGAAUUCCUAGUGUAGCGGUGAAAUGCGUAGAUAUUAGGAAGAACACCAGUGGCGAAGGCGACUUUCUGGACGAAAACUGACGCUGAGGCGCGAAAGCCAGGGGAGCGAACGGGAUUAGAUACCCCGGUAGUCCUGGCCGUAAACGAUGGGUACUAGGUGUAGGAGGUAUCGACCCCUUCUGUGCCGGAGUUAACGCAAUAAGUACCCCGCCUGGGGAGUACGACCGCAAGGUUGAAACUCAAAGGAAUUGACGGGGGCCCGCACAAGCGGAGGAACAUGUGGUUUAAUUCGAUGAUACGCGAGGAACCUUACCCGGGCUUGAA